GAACGCUGGCGGCAUGCCUUACACAUGACAAGUCGAACGGUAGCGCGGGUAACCUGGCGACGAGUGGCGAACGGGUGAGUAAUGCAGUCGGAACGUCGCCCUGGAAGUGGGGGAAUAACGUAGCGAAAGUUACGCUAAUACCGCAUAUUCUGUGAGCAGGAAAGCAGGGGAUCGCAAGACCUUGCGUUCUGGGAGCGGCCGAUGUCGGAUUAGCUAGUUGGUGGGGUAAAGGCCUACCAAGGUGACGAUCCGUAGCGGGUCUGAGAGGAUGAUCCGCCACACUGGGACUGAGACACGGCCCAGACUCCUACGGGAGGCAGCAGUGGGGAAUUUUGGACAAUGGGCGCAAGCCUGAUCCAGCCAUGCCGCGUGCGGGACGAAGGCCUUCGGGUUGUAAACCGCUUUCAGCCGGAAAGAAAUCGCCGUUUUAAUACAGACGGUGGAUGACGGUACCGGAAGAAGAAGCACCGGCUAACUACGUG
Molecule: ribosomal RNA, 482 nt
Filed under: uncultured bacterium
Lineage: Bacteria
Description: bacterial SSU rRNA
Rfam family: Bacterial small subunit ribosomal RNA
Source: RNAcentral